CUCCAAAUCUUCCCCUCUUUCAUAAUUCUAGCUUUGUUUUGGGUGGGAGUUAUUGGGGAGAGAGAUAUCAACCCUCCAAAAUUCGCCCCUUUUGGUGAGAGUUGGGGUUUUGGGGUGAUUCCCUCCAUUGAAGCUUGAGGAGCCAUCAAUCCUUGGUUGUGUGACCAUUGGUGGAUUGAGACAUUUGGACCAACCGUGAGUGAUCAACCAUUGGAGCAAGCUAUGGAGCUUGAAUAGCUCAUUGGAAUUGGUGUUGGUUUUGGAGUAGAGUAUUGUUGACAUUGGUGAAGAACAAAGGUCGACUGAAGCAUUGAGGUAAGGAUGCUGCAGGAGCCUCUGGUGGCAAGUGGCCAUAUCUGGAUUAUGCAUGAAAUGUGGCAUUUCUUUUGAGUUUAUGCAUGCCUUUUGUAGUUGACAUGUAUAGGAUUUUAUUUUGAAAGCCCAUGGUCAUUUGUAUAUCUUGAUUCAUUGGAUGAAC
Gastrolobium bilobum is the source of this 478-nucleotide long non-coding RNA. RefSeq lists it as uncharacterized. NCBI's taxonomy places the organism in Eukaryota, Viridiplantae, Streptophyta, Magnoliopsida, Fabales, Fabaceae. The transcript is spliced from 4 exons. The record is from RefSeq and is a predicted model, not a curated record.